GCAAGUCGAGCGAGAAAGCUUCUUCGGGAGUGAGUAGAGCGGCGGACGGGUGAGUAACGCGUGGGAAUAUGCCCAUUAGUGGGGGAUAACGUGUGGAAACGCACGCUAAUACCGCAUACGCCCUAAGGGGGAAAGCGGGGGAUCUUCGGACCUCGUGCUAUUGGAUUAGCCCGCGUCGGAUUAGCUAGUUGGUGAGGUAAAGGCUCACCAAGGCGACGAUCCGUAGCUGGUCUGAGAGGAUGAUC
This 245-nucleotide ribosomal RNA is filed under the name uncultured bacterium. RNAcentral describes it as "partial 16S ribosomal RNA". It matches the Rfam family "Bacterial small subunit ribosomal RNA", at positions 57 to 305 of the family's 1533-position model. The record is from RNAcentral.